Long non-coding RNA from Oxyura jamaicensis (ruddy duck), 275 nucleotides. RefSeq lists it as uncharacterized. The transcript is spliced from 3 exons. NCBI's taxonomy places the organism in Eukaryota, Metazoa, Chordata, Aves, Anseriformes, Anatidae. The record is from RefSeq and is a predicted model, not a curated record.
GAAAGAAAGAAAGAAAGAACUUUAUGUUUCACCUUAAAUGUGCACCACAUUUAGAGAAAGAGAGGAAAGAAACAAAAUUACUCCAACAGCAGUAACUACUGGGUCCCAAUGGAUUAUAUUCAUACGAUACUGGACACAGCACAAGAGAUGAGCCAAGAGAUGAGCCAAGAGAUGAGCCUCUGAACAAAAUGAAUACUGACAUCAAAAGAAUUAGUGAGGGGGAAGUUCUAUUCAUUGAAAUGUCAAGAUGAUACCCACUGUGCUGGAGAACCAAG